AGUGAACGCUGGCGGUAGGCCUAACACAUGCAAGUCGAACGGCAGCACAGUAAGAGCUUGCUCUUACGGGUGGCGAGUGGCGGACGGGUGAGGAAUACAUCGGAAUCUACUUUUUCGUGGGGGAUAACGUAGGGAAACUUACGCUAAUACCGCAUACGACCUACGGGUGAAAGCAGGGGAUCUUCGGACCUUGCGCGAUUGAAUGAGCCGAUGUCGGAUUAGCUAGUUGGCGGGGUAAAGGCCCACCAAGGCGACGAUCCGUAGCUGGUCUGAGAGGAUGAGCAGCCACACUGGAACUGAGACACGGUCCAGACUCCUACGGGAGGCAGCAGUGGGGAAUACUGGACAAUGGGCGCAAGCCUGAUCCAGCCAUACCGCGUGGGUGAAGAAGGCCUUCGGGUUGUAAAGCCCUUUUGUUGGGAAAGAAAAGCAGCAGGUUAAUACCCCGCUGUUCUGACGGUACCCAAAGAAUAAGCACCGGCUAACUUCGU
This 491-nucleotide ribosomal RNA is filed under the name uncultured bacterium. RNAcentral's name for it is "partial 16S ribosomal RNA". It matches the Rfam family "Bacterial small subunit ribosomal RNA", at positions 29 to 506 of the family's 1533-position model. The record is from RNAcentral.